GUUCUAACGUUGGCCCCUGACCGGGGUUGCGGACAGUGUCUGGUGGGUAGUUUGACUGGGGCGGUCUCCUCCCAAAGCGUAACGGAGGAGCACGAAGGUUAGCUAAUCCUGGUCGGACAUCAGGAGGUUAGUGCAAUGGCAUAAGCUAGCUUGACUGCGAGCGUGACGGCGCGAGCAGGUGCGAAAGCAGGUCAUAGUGAUCCGGUGGUUCUGAAUGGAAGGGCCAUCGCUCAACGGAUAAAAGGUACUCCGGGGAUAACAGGCUGAUACCGCCCAAGAGUUCAUAUCGACGGCGGUGUUUGGCACCUCGAUGUCGGCUCAUCACAUCCUGGGGCUGAAGUAGGUCCCAAGGGUAUGGCUGUUCGCCAUUUAAAGUGGUACGCGAGCUGGGUUUAGAACGUCGUGAGACAGUUCGGUCCCUAUCUGCCGUGGGCGCUGGAGAAUUGAGGGGGGCUGCUCCUAGUACGAGAGGACCGGAGUGGACGCAUCACUGGUGUUCGGGUUGUCAUGCCAAUGGCACUGCCCGGUAGCUAAAUGCGGAAGAGAUAAGUGCUGAAAGCAUCUAAGCACGAAACUUGCCCCGAGAUGAGUUCUCCCUGAGACUUUAAGUCUCCUGAAGGAACGUUGAAGACGACGACGUUGAUAGGCCGGGUGUGUAAGCGCAGCGAUGCGUUGAGCUAACCGGUACUAAUGAACCGUGAGGCUUAACCUU
Molecule: ribosomal RNA, 712 nt
Filed under: Klebsiella pneumoniae
Lineage: Bacteria; Pseudomonadati; Pseudomonadota; Gammaproteobacteria; Enterobacterales; Enterobacteriaceae
Description: partial 23S ribosomal RNA
Rfam family: Bacterial large subunit ribosomal RNA
Source: RNAcentral